UUAGUACAAUGAAAAUGAUAUAUCGGUAAUGGCCGGGAUAGCUCAGUUGGUAAAGCAAAGGACUGAAAAUCCUCGUGUCACCAGUUCAAAU
RNAcentral lists this transfer RNA (91 nucleotides) under Lepidium meyenii. RNAcentral describes it as "partial tRNA-Phe". The stretch from base 32 to 91 matches the Rfam family "tRNA", at positions 1 to 58 of the family's 71-position model. From Rfam's summary of the family: Transfer RNA (tRNA) molecules are approximately 80 nucleotides in length. Lineage: Eukaryota; Viridiplantae; Streptophyta; Magnoliopsida; Brassicales; Brassicaceae. The record is from RNAcentral.